This 117-nucleotide ribozyme is filed under the name Aedes aegypti (yellow fever mosquito). RNAcentral describes it as "drz-agam-1 ribozyme". It matches the Rfam family "drz-agam-1 ribozyme". The record is from Rfam by way of RNAcentral. Lineage: Eukaryota; Metazoa; Arthropoda; Insecta; Diptera; Culicidae.
UGCCCAGCAACUCCUAUCCCUACCUCCUCGUGGUGCUGGCCGGGGUACGAGUAACCUUAGGGAAGAUCGGGUAACCAACCCCCGGUGGGAACUUUGGUCGUAUGCUGACAGGGAAGG